AAGUCGUAACAAGGUUUCCGUAGGUGAACCUGCGGAAGGAUCAUUAACACGUAUCCACGUAUCAACCAACCGCGAACUCGUUUUCAAGUCUCCCUUUGGGGCACAUGAAUUGGUAACUGACACAGAGUAAUUGAUAGGGGCUCUCGGGCCAGCUCUGUACAGCCACUGAGGUGAUUCGUCACUUCGACAAUUGUAGUGUUCUGGAGGCAAUCUUCUACUACCUCCUUCUCCUUUCAUGAUUAAGGUAGUGGAUAACUAUUAACCUAUUUCACCCCCUUUUUGCUAGUUGACUUUAUUAUGUUGUUAUCAAUAAGAUUAAUUUCUUAGUGGUCUCACACGUUUAAUUAUUUAAACGAUAGAACAACUCUUAGCAAUGGAUAUCUUGGUUCUC
RNAcentral lists this unclassified non-coding RNA (391 nucleotides) under fungal sp. Its description in RNAcentral is "partial internal transcribed spacer region". The stretch from base 1 to 46 matches the Rfam family "Eukaryotic small subunit ribosomal RNA", at positions 1786 to 1831 of the family's 1831-position model. The record is from RNAcentral. Lineage: Eukaryota; Fungi.